GGGUUACUAGCUCAGUUGGCUAGAGCACUAGACUUUUAAUCUAGGUGUCCCGGGUUCGAGCCCCGGGUGACUCA
This 74-nucleotide transfer RNA is filed under the name Firmicutes bacterium HGW-Firmicutes-7. RNAcentral describes it as "tRNA-Lys". It matches the Rfam family "tRNA". Rfam says of the family: Transfer RNA (tRNA) molecules are approximately 80 nucleotides in length. Lineage: Bacteria; Bacillati; Bacillota. The record is from RNAcentral.